Aethalodelphis obliquidens (Pacific white-sided dolphin) is the source of this 2375-nucleotide long non-coding RNA. RefSeq lists it as uncharacterized. The transcript is spliced from 3 exons. NCBI's taxonomy places the organism in Eukaryota, Metazoa, Chordata, Mammalia, Artiodactyla, Delphinidae. The record is from RefSeq and is a predicted model, not a curated record.
AGGCCAGGAGGCCCCAACCAGGCUGUAGCCGGGGCCUGAGGGGCAGGGCUGGAGUCUAGAGUGGAGGCAGACACUGCCUGGACCGUUUCGAGACCUUGGGGAUGAGGGAGUCCCAACAUGCGACCUUCUGAUGAUGUUCGUUAACCUCCUGCAGGCUGCCUGGUGCUCUUCCGCCAGCCCCUGGGGAGCUGUCGGGGCUGAGCACCUCCUGGGCCAGGCCCGGAGCAGCGCGGUCCCCAUGGGGCUACAGCCGGCAGAGUCUUGAGACUCCUUCGGCUACCUAGCGACUGGCGGAGUGAAGGGCCAGGACAGGGACCUCAGGCCUGUCCGCUUUGAAGCUCCCCGACCUCUAGGGUGCCCCUGUGCUCCUCAGGGACCACCCUGGGGAAGGGACAUCUGGUUGGGAGGCCGCCUCAGUCAGUUCCUUCAUCAUCCUCUGCCUUCCACACCCAGGUCCUCCUCACGCUGUCUCCUUGGAACGAAGGAAUACACGCAUCUGCGCCCCAGGCAGUCUCCUCCCGCCACACACACCCCCCCUCCGUGCACAGUGGCUCCGGCAAGUGUCACGGGGAGUAGAGCCUGUGGGGAGGGCCCCCACCAGGGACCCUGUACCUACCGGCCCCAACUCCAACGGCCCUGGACGUGGUCCCUGAUCCCCAGAGACACCGCGGGCAGGUGAGGAGAAGGCCUCUCCUUCUCUCUCAGAAUCUGGGACUUUUUCACAGCUCAGUAGGGCCCCAGUUGAGCCUUUCAAGCUCACUGGAGCCUCAGGGUCCUUAUUGAAAGCAGGAGUUUGGCAUAGACAAGCCCUCCCUAUUGCAUCCAUCGGUAUUUCCCCCAGAGGGCGCUCUGCUCACAGAAUCCGGCACCUUCAUCUUGCAUAUCCGGCCGGAGUCACCUCUGGUGAGAAAGGCUCGGCGAGACGCGGGAGACUCGCCUAAGUUUGUUUAACCCGUAGUUCCCCAGACCUACGUAACCGGGAUGUACAUUUUCCACAGAACACCUUUUACGAUGCCAUGGAAUCCAGACUGGGAAACUCCUCGAAGGACUUUUUUCCAUUUUAGGCUUGUAGAGUUGGGUCCUUCCCUCCCAUCCCCCUCAGGACCGGGUUCUGACUCCUCCCGACCUAAGCUCAUGCUCCCAUGGGGCCUGUGCAAGGGCUGCGCAGAGCCUGAUCCGCCGUGGCCUCCGCACGAGCCUAGAUCAGCUGCUCAUUGUUAAGCUAAGGUUGCACCUCCUCCCCCAGGAUAAAAGGGGGUGGGGGUGGGGAGUCCGAUUUCCGUAAGGGCAGGGAUUGGUUAAACGCGUUUCUCCAGGAACUACUGUGUGCCAGGCACUGACUGAGUGGUCACUUUGGGGCACGUUUUCUGCGCUAAGAAGUUCUCACUGCUUUGGGAAGUGCAUUAUUGAUCCAGGAAAGACAUUGCCCCCUUCUGCCUCACCCUUUCUGUAGAUCAACCGCACCUGGGCCUCAUUCUCCAGCACCUCCCACCUCAGGCAGCGCAGGGCAGGGGUCUGGGCCAGGCGGAGAAAGGACAAACACAGUGACACACGCGGGAUGGGGUGGGAGUGGGGCUUGGAGCUUGGGAGCAGAGGUGACGGUUCACUGCAGUCCUGGGGUCUGCCCCCAGCUCCCCACGCCCCUCACUCCAGUCUCUCUCACUGAGGUCCUGAUAAAUUGACAUCUUUCACAAAAGCCAAUUCCUCCAGAAGCUCUGACUCCUCGCUUCUCACUGCUAAAAAUAGGUGGAGAGCUGUAAAAACCGCACACCUAGAGACAAUUCUAGUCAUUUUGGUAGAUAUUUGCUCUAAAGAUCUGCAAUGUCUGUCGUUAUUAAAACCGGGUGUUCCUUGGCAAACUCAUUUCUUUUAAAAGCAGAUUCACAGCCUUCAAUAAAAUAAAUUUCUUAUUUCCAGUGGGUUCGGAGACAUUCAGAGGUGUUACUACAAAGCCGUGACGAUCCUCACCAUCGGAAUCCAAGGUUCUUGUUAAGGCCCUAUCCUUGGCCCUCAGGUGUCCGUCGUGGUGUUCAAAGAGGAGAACAUUUCCUGAUGGAGGGGCUUGGGUGAAGGGGCCAGCUCUCCCACCGCAGGGCGCUGGCAGUUGCGCCGGUUUCAAAGAGAAAGCAAUGCAUUCGGGCUGUUCUGCAGAGAAAAGGCUCCAGGAGUAGGCGAGGAUGUUUCCUGGGACGAAUUCGGGACACCUCACAGCUGCUGGCAGGAACAACCGGCCCCAAGGAUGUAGACUGCAGUUUUCAACUGAUGGAGGCAGGACAACUCUGAUGGGCCGUCCGGAGCUCCCUGUGCAGUCAGCUCAGACUGUGGGACCCACAUCGCAGCUUGACUCCUCCCUCUGCCAAUUCUUCUGUCUCCCU